UACGGGAUAUUCUGUGCCUGCUGCAGUGGUGGGUGUGGGAAAGAUUGCGCUUUUUUGGGUGUUUUUGGUGGGGGAUGGGCUCGCGGCCUAUCAGCUUGUUGGUGGGGUGAUGGCCUACCAAGGCGGUGACGGGUAGCCGGCCUGAGAGGGUGGACGGUCACACUGGGACUGAGACACGGCCCAGACUCCUACGGGAGGCAGCAGUGGGGAAUAUUGCACAAUGGGCGCAAGCCUGAUGCAGCGACGCCGCGUGAGGGAUGGAGGCCUUCGGGUUGUGAACCUCUUUCGCCAGUGAAGCAGGCCUGCUCCUUGGUGGGUGGGUUGACGGUAGCUGGAUAAGAAGCGCCGGCUAACUAC
This 357-nucleotide ribosomal RNA is filed under the name uncultured bacterium. Its description in RNAcentral is "bacterial SSU rRNA". It matches the Rfam family "Bacterial small subunit ribosomal RNA", at positions 167 to 504 of the family's 1533-position model. The record is from RNAcentral.